AACGAACGCUGGCGGCAUGCCUAACACAUGCAGGUCGAACGAGAAAGUUUCCUUCGGGAAAUUAGUAAAGUGGCGCAAGGGUGAGUAUCACGUGAAUAAUCUGCCCUCGAGAUCGGGAUAACAUGGUGAAAACUAUGCUAAUACCGGAUAAGACCACAUUUCAUAAGAAAUGCGGUAAAAGGAGUCUCAAUCUUCACUCGAGGAUGAGUUCGCGCAACAUUAGCUUGUUGGUGAGAUAAAAGCUCACCAAGGCUACGAUGUUUAGCCGGCCUGAGAGGGUGAUCGGCCACACUGGAACUGAGACACGGUCCAGACUCCUACGGGAGGGCAGCAGUGGGGAAUCUUGCACAAUGGGGGGAAACCCUGAUGCAGCGAUGCCGCGUGAGUGAAG
Molecule: ribosomal RNA, 391 nt
Filed under: uncultured Nitrospina sp.
Lineage: Bacteria; Pseudomonadati; Nitrospinota; Nitrospinia; Nitrospinales; Nitrospinaceae
Description: bacterial SSU rRNA
Rfam family: Bacterial small subunit ribosomal RNA
Source: RNAcentral